GGAGUCAGCACCGCGGGUCUCCCGGCAGCCCAGGAGGCCACGCCCCAUUCCCCCCUCUCCACAAACCCCACUCACCAGGAGUAGGUGGUGCCCAGGUCGAUGCCGACCACCGUGCCCACGUCCUCCUUCUUGUCCUCCUCCUCGGCCCGCGCCGCGCCGAGCAGCAGCAGCACCGCAGCCACCAGGGACAGCUUCAUCCUGCCGGCGCCGUAGGCCAGUGGGUCAGCAGUGAGUCGGGACGUCACGGACAAUCCAACCACAGGCCGCAGCACCGGAGCGCACCGAGGAGACUGAUCUGAGGGUACAAGGCCCGGGGUCAGCAGGAGCAGCAGACAAGGCGAAGGGCAGGUCCGGAAGGACAGGCCGCGGCGCUUACCUCUCAGACUCACAAAAAUCCCCCAAGUCGAUGAGUCUGUGAUGUCUCAGCCAGCGUCGACCGCGCCGUCGCCGAGGCCGCUUAUAUACCCUCCCCCCAGCCCCGUCGUGGAGGCCACCGAUUGGCGUAGGCGCUGCUCGUUGGAGGCCGCUGAUUGGUCCAGGCCACCAAGCUGGCCGCCGCCGAUUCGAAGCGGCCUCCUCCGCAGCUAACGUCACAGCUACGCCCCCCCGGCGGACUCAUUGGCGGCCGGUAGCAUCCGACAGCCGCCAAUGGGAGGCAACAUCCGCCCCACGCGCAGUCCUCAUUGGCUCAGCAGCUGUCUGUCUCUUGUGCGACCUCUCACCCGGAGGCCGUUUCCGCUGGUAACGGCAGAAGUCCCGCCUUCACACUGGGCCCUCGGGGGCCGGGAUUAGAGUGGACUAGGUGAUUCCCUCGAGGCUCUGGGUUUGGGUUCUUGGUUCUUUCUCCGCUGUUUGCUUGACCCUCCUCUCUCCUUCCUCUCGAAGCGGGAAGCGACUCUCCCCCUCUCCCCAGCCUCCAAACCCGCCCCAGGCAGGCAGGUCUCAGCGUAGAUGCUGUGAUCCCCUCAGAACAAAUUUCUUUGCCCUUUACAGCCGCUACGGUUUGGGGGUGUCCGAGCCUCGGGGCGUGUUGUUCUCCCGCCCGCAGCCCUGUCCGGAGCCGUGCCCGGCCGCGGAUAGUGGCUCCUAGACAUUCUUUCGGCCCUGCUCUCCCUAGCCAGGUUAUGCUGGUGACUCAGAAUUGACUAUGGAAGUUGCAUCACCCAUCUUACAACAGGGCUUGUAAUACUGCUGUAACACUGACCCUCUCUAUAGGUUGCAUCAGUUCACAUCAAGAUAGAAAUCACCAUCAAGCCACAUUACAGCUUCAUUUCAAGCAAACUUUGUGUAUAUAACAUCCAUUUACAUCAAAAAGCUCUCAGUUUCAGCCUUGUCUUUGAUAGAGUAAUCUUUUGCAACUCUUCCUUUUUUUUUUUUUUUCUCUAAGAUUUAGAAAAGUAAUAUCUGGCUAACUUUCAAAGGGAAUGGGUAUAUUGGUGGUUGUAGUAUUUUUUAAAAACUAGGUAUAUUAGGUAUAUGUUAGAGUAUAUUCCAAAGUGCAAUCACUUCUGGUUUGAAUAGAAAAGUGCAUAGAUAAAUCUAGCUUCCUGAAUGUUAAAUACCAAUAAUAGUAUUGGUGCCAGUUACCAAUAUUUAAGCAUAAUAUUUAAACACUUGAUGUGCAUUAUCUCUUUUUAAUUCUUAUGAAAGCAUUUCUUUCUUUAACCCUUAUUUUUAGAGCUAAGGAAUCUGAAGCCCCAAGAGGUGAAGAAAUUUGCCCAGGAGAUCACACAGCUUAAAAGAUAGGGAGCCAGGAUUUGAGCCUUGGAAAUUUGGUUUUUAAUUUCUGUAGUCAAGACUGUCAUCCUGAUCUUUGGCUUUAUAAGAUUUAUGUCUUGUUUAGGAUAUAGAAUAGUGGCCUAGUUUGCAAGUGUUUUGAUAAUGAGUGAUAGACAAAUGUAGAUUUUUAUCCAGUAAUUUAAACCAGCUCAUUUCACUUGUACUCCUAUGGGUAAGAUAGUAGAUUUCUAUUUCUCAUCUGAUCUCAGAAAGCUAGGCAGAGUUAGGACUGAUUAGAUUUGGAUAUCACUUGGUUUCUAAAUCUUCCUUUCUGAAAGGGAAUUAAAGACAUAGAACAGAAAGGAAAAGGAAAAGGCUUAUAGAAUUGGCAAAUUGAAUGUUUUAGACACCGAUAAUUGAGAUUUUUCCGCAUCCUUUGUUAAAGAAAAUAUUCAGCAAGAGAUAAGGUACAUGAUCUUGGAAAAAAACAACCUACAAGAGCCUCAGUUUCUUCAUCUAUUGAAUGUCAGAGAUUUCUAUCCUGUCUCUCCUAGUGGUUUGUUUCAAGGACCAGAUAAGAAACUGUGUGAAGAAAAAAAAAAAAAAAAAGAAACUAC
Molecule: long non-coding RNA, 2336 nt
Organism: Canis lupus familiaris (dog)
Lineage: Eukaryota; Metazoa; Chordata; Mammalia; Carnivora; Canidae
Exons: 2
Source: RefSeq, a predicted model, not a curated record